CUGUUCAUCUCCCUGGGAUGAAAGUUUCUUGCACGGAAGCAUCAAUGUCAAUGUUGUAUUUCAGGGAUAUCCGGUACAAGAAGCGACUGUUCCUGAAUGAUCCACAAAAAAGAUGGGCUGAACUGCAAUAUUGGCAAUAUCUGAAGGAAAGGGGGAAGAUGAAGCCAGAAAGACAGGUCCACCAUCUCAGAACGCCACUGGUCUCCUGGGAGUCAUUCAUUGACGGGCAGCAGGACGGGGAGGCGCUGGGUUUCCUUCUGCUCAGGAGGACCUUUCUUUUUUUAAGGCUGCACAUCAUUCCUGGGCUGCUGACUGAAUAUAGAUGUGGUUUAAUUUUAUAGUAGGCUAUUGGUAAUAUAUAUUUCUUUAUAACGUGGGAAUUGAUUUAAAACAUGUAACGCUUUCUGAAUGACUUCCAGACAUAAAGUUUUAGCUUUCCGGUCUGAAAAUAUUGACUGUAAUUAUUAAAUGUUUAAGGUGCUCCACUGGUAGUAGAAAUGUAUUUUGAGUGCUAUUUACCAUUUCCUUUGCUGAGCUGAAUUUUGUUAUAGUUUCUCUUUUUUUUUUUUUUCUAAU
This 576-nucleotide long non-coding RNA is filed under the name Gallus gallus (chicken). RNAcentral's name for it is "lncRNA (ENSGALG00010010296.1)". Lineage: Eukaryota; Metazoa; Chordata; Aves; Galliformes; Phasianidae. The record is from RNAcentral.